GAUGAACGCUGGCGGCGUGCCUAAUACAUGCAAGUCGAGCGAACAGACGAGGAGCUUGCUCCUCUGACGUUAGCGGCGGACGGGUGAGUAACACGUGGAUAACCUACCUAUAAGACUGGGAUAACUUCGGGAAACCGGAGCUAAUACCGGAUCAUAUAUUGAACCGCAUGGUUCAAUAGUGAAAGACGGUUUUGCUGUCACUUAUAGCUGGAUCCGCGCCGCAUUAGCUAGUUGGUAAGGUAACGGCUUACCAAGGCAACGAUGCGUAGCCGACCUGAGAGGGUGAUCGGCCACACUGGAACUGAGACACGGUCCAGACUCCUACGGGAGGCAGCAGUAGGGAAUCUUCCGCAAUGGGCGAAAGCUUGACGGAGCAACGCCGCGUGAGUGAUGAAGGUCUUCGGAUCGUAAAACUCUGUUAUUAGGGAAGAACAAAUGUGUAAGUAACUAUGCACGUCUUGACGGUACCUAAUCAGAAAGCCACGGCUAACUACGUG
RNAcentral lists this ribosomal RNA (497 nucleotides) under uncultured bacterium. RNAcentral's name for it is "partial 16S ribosomal RNA". It matches the Rfam family "Bacterial small subunit ribosomal RNA", at positions 28 to 507 of the family's 1533-position model. The record is from RNAcentral.